This 484-nucleotide ribosomal RNA is filed under the name Ceracris kiangsu (yellow-spined bamboo locust). RNAcentral's name for it is "partial 16S ribosomal RNA". It matches the Rfam family "Archaeal large subunit ribosomal RNA", at positions 1901 to 2634 of the family's 2987-position model. The record is from RNAcentral. Lineage: Eukaryota; Metazoa; Arthropoda; Insecta; Orthoptera; Acrididae.
AAAAACAUGUCCUCUUGAUUAUAUUUUGAGGUCUGGCCUGCUCACUGAUAAAUUUAAAGAGCCGCGGUAUUUUGACCGUGCAAAGGUAGCAUAAUCAUUAGUCUUUUAAUUAAGGGCUGGAAUGAAUGGCUUGACGAGAAAUUAACUGUCUCUUAAUAAUUUAUAAAAUUUAACUUUUGAGUCAAAAGGCUUAAAUUUUUCUUUAGGACGAGAAGACCCUAUAGAGCUUAACAUAUAAUUUAUAUUUAUACAUUAGAUGGUUUUUUAUAUAUUUAAUGAUAAUGUUUUGUUGGGGUGACAUGAAGAAUCAAUAAACUCUUCAUUAUAAAAUCAUUAAUUUAUGUUUAUUCUUGAUCCAUAAUUUAUGAUCAUAAGAUUAAGUUACCUUAGGGAUAACAGCGUAAUUGUUUUUGAGAGCUCAAAUCAACAAAGCAGAUUGCGACCUCGAUGUUGGAUUAAGAAAAAUUUUGGGUGCAGUAGCUCA